RNAcentral lists this long non-coding RNA (94 nucleotides) under Fukomys damarensis (Damara mole-rat). Its description in RNAcentral is "lncRNA (ENSFDAG00000026322.1)". Lineage: Eukaryota; Metazoa; Chordata; Mammalia; Rodentia; Bathyergidae. The record is from RNAcentral.
UGAUGACUUCCGCAUCUGUGCUCGUGUUCUUCAAAUACAUGGAAAAUUGCAGUCAUAAAUAAUAGGAUUGAGCAUUGGAGGUACAAGAAAAUAG